GUGGCCGGGAUGCGGGCAGGGGCGUGGCUGAGCUGGACGGGCAGACUCACAACAUGAAGUCCUGCUCCCAGCUGGGCUGGCUGCCGCGCACCGCGAUGGUCGUGCUCUUGACAUUCUGCACCUUCAGGGUCACCACCUGGACCAAACCGAAGCAAUCGAAGGACUAUGCCUGGAGAAGAAGUUCUUCCCCUGCCCCCCGCCCCAGGGAACCCGGGUCCUCCUGACCCCAGAGAUGGUCGCGCACCCCCUUCUCACCGCCCACCCUCUGUUCUGCGCCCUCGGAGACAGGGUCUGGCUGAGUGGCUUAGGGCCUCAAUGUUGCUGAGGCUGGCUUGGAACUCGCACCCUCCUGCCUCAGCUGCGCCCAGCAUUCCGCGUCUCUGGACGGGUGCGUGGAAGCCGUGGAGCAAUGAAUUCCUAGAAACAGGACCGUGUAGGGACAGGUGCCACAGCCUCUUGGCGUGCCCUUGGCUAAGAUUCUAGGAUCCUGAAUUUUAACUGAAGGGGCCUCCAGUCUUGGGGCACUUGUGACCUGCCAGAUGAGGGGGGCAGUGUGAAGGGAAGGGGGAGGGGAACCCAGCCAUCAAGGAGAGACCCGAAAGCCCACUCCCCUGAUGUGCUCACUGAGUGUCAGAAUAUACACAGUGCAAGGCCACCAUAUCAAAGGGUGGCUUUGGCAUGGGGGUGGGGAACAUAGAAAAUCCAGAAAUAGAUUCCAGGAUAUUUGACGGUUUCCCGUGUGAUGCUGCUGGCAGACACUUCAGAGGAAGACGGAUGAGCUCUAUGAUAUAGGGCGUUGACCCUGCGGGUUUUGCACGGGGCAGAGAAUAAGCGAGGACUCUCAGACUCUACUGGAGGAAAUAAGCUGGAGGCAGACUGAAGCCUUCUGUGUGAAAAACAAACAUGCCAAGAACCCAAGGAUCAGUGAUCCUGUGCUGCUUACCACGGACCACUAAGAAUUAGGCCCAGUGUAAACAGUCGUAGUUGCUCAAUAAAUGGCGAUUCGCUAAAGGC
This is a non-coding RNA of Ictidomys tridecemlineatus (thirteen-lined ground squirrel), 1014 nucleotides long. The record is from RefSeq and is a predicted model, not a curated record. Lineage: Eukaryota; Metazoa; Chordata; Mammalia; Rodentia; Sciuridae.